Non-coding RNA from Lolium perenne, 671 nucleotides. The record is from RefSeq and is a predicted model, not a curated record. NCBI's taxonomy places the organism in Eukaryota, Viridiplantae, Streptophyta, Magnoliopsida, Poales, Poaceae.
CAAGUGGGGCGGGAUAUCCCGCCACGCAGCUGGUCCGCCCCGCGAAGAAAUCCCGCGCGGCGCCGCUAAAUAACCCGCACCUCUACUCGCGGGACAAAGCGGUCAGGCCGCGUGGUCCGCUAGAUAACCGCAAAACUGCAUAAGCCGCAAAACGGCCCCCAGUCGCGGACGCUCCCCAGUCCCCAACCUCGUUGACCAAGGGAGAUUCGACGACGCCUCUGCCCCUCCGCCGAUGCCUCGACCUCCUCUUCCCAGCGCCCUCCCUCCGCAAGCCCCCUCUCGCAAUUCCUGAUGGAGGGGUCGACGGCGGCGUCGCCGCCAUCUCCACAUCGGGACCUACAUCCGCUCGCUCUUCUGCAAGACCUACAUCCUCCCUGCGCCCUUCUCUCUCCUCGAAGAACAAAGGAUCUCCGCCAUUUGUAGAAAUCGCUGCGGCUGCAAAUGAUCGUCUCCAAGAUAUCAGAGGUUCUGAAUCAUAUGAAGGACUUAAUUGAGUUCAGCCCCAACAACGCAGAGCAUGCAUGAUGCUAAGGGGUUGAUCAAAACGGAAGCAAGUACCCAUAAUUAGCAUGAUUACUGGACAGUGUUAUGCAAACAUGCUUUGUUUCAAUCGACCUCUAUUGUAUUGUCCACAAUUCCAGAAUUGCUAAGAUUGCAUGGUACUUGAUUCC